This 252-nucleotide ribosomal RNA is filed under the name uncultured bacterium. RNAcentral's name for it is "partial 16S ribosomal RNA". It matches the Rfam family "Bacterial small subunit ribosomal RNA", at positions 103 to 354 of the family's 1533-position model. The record is from RNAcentral.
CGGGUGAGUAACACGUAUGCAACCUGCCUGCCACAGCCGGAUAAUCGGGAGAAAUUCCGUCUAAUACGGCAUAAUGCAUCGACGGGACAUCCUGUUGGUGCCAAAGGUUAAUUCCGGUGGCGGAUGGGCAUGCGUCGCAUUAGUUAGUUGGCGGUGUAACGGACCACCAAGACGACGAUGCGUAGGGGUUCUGAGAGGAAGGUCCCCACACUGGUACUGAGACACGGACCAGACUCCUACGGAAGGCAGCAG